UUGGUUGGGAUUAGCGGCGAACGGGUGAGUAACGCGUGAGGAACCUGCCUCUUACAACGGGAUAGCCUCGGGAAACCGGGAUUAAUACCGUAUAAGACUCCGACAUCUCCUGAUGAUGAAGUCAAAGCGUAUGCGGUAAGAGAUGGCCUCGCGUCUGAUUAGUUAGUUGGCGGGGUAACGGCCCACCAAGACGACGAUCAGUAACCGGCCUGAGAGGGUGAACGGUCACAUUGGAACUGAGACACGGUCCAAACUCCUACGGGAGGCAGCAGUGGGGAAUCUUGCACAAUGGGGGCAACCCUGAUGCAGCGACGCCGCGUGAGCGAUGAAGGUUUUCGAAUCGUAAAGCUCUGUCCUAUGGGAAGAUAAUGACGGUACCAUAGGAGGAAGCCCCGGCUAACUACGUGCCAGCAGCCGCGGUAAUACGUAGGGGGCGAGCGUUGUCCGGAAUUACUGGGCGUAAAGGGUUCGCAGGCGGCAUGGCAAGUCCGAUGUAAAAGGCGAAGGCUCAACCUUCGUAAGCAUCGGAAACUGUCAAGCUUGAGUGAAGGAGAGGCAAGUGGAAUUCCUAGUGUAGCGGUGGAAUGCGUAGAUAUUAGGAGGAAUACCGGUGGCGAAGGCGACUUGCUGGACUUCAACUGACGCUGAGGAACGAAAGCGUGGGUAGCAAACAGGAUUAGAUACCCUGGUAGUCCACGCCGUAAACGAUGAGUGCUAGGUGUCGGGGGUCAAACCUCGGUGCCGCCGUUAACACAAUAAGCACUCCGCCUGGGGAGUACGUGCGC
This 785-nucleotide ribosomal RNA is filed under the name uncultured bacterium. RNAcentral describes it as "bacterial SSU rRNA". It matches the Rfam family "Bacterial small subunit ribosomal RNA", at positions 82 to 889 of the family's 1533-position model. The record is from RNAcentral.